CGAUGAAUCAGUGUUGUUCAGAUCAUGAACUCGUGGUGUUCAGUCGCAGAUAUGGAAAAGACAGGUGUGGCUUCAUGAUUUCCCUUGUGAUGAAAUAAUUGAGAAGACGGGAGGGUGAAGGGAUGACAGGAACUGUCGGAAUGACUGAGGUAAGUGUCUGUCUGUCUGUCUGUCUGUCUGUCUGUCUGUCUACCCAUCUAUCCAUCUAGUUCUAUUAGCUUUAACGAAGUCUUUCCAUUUUCAUUUUAUGUGACUGAUGAACAAUUGUUACGAAGUUCACUUUUAGGCACACUUGGGCAGCUCAUCCCCCAGAGACGUCUUUCUCCCACAAUGCCCUGACCCUGAGAUCUAUGCGUGGAAUUCUCUGCUCAUUUAUCAGUGUGGGCCUGCUCCUCUCCCUGUGUGCUCUAAUUUUUUCACAGUCCCGAUCCUGGUACUGUUGCACCCCAAACUACAUCUGUGUAACUGUCAGACUCACACACAACUGAGUAAACCUACAGCUGUGGAAAAAUACUAAAAUAAGUUAUGCGUUUUUCUCUCCAAAUUUAAAAAAAUAAACACUUAACAUAACUAUUAAAGUUAAAAUAAGCUGUACUUUUUUUACUUUUAAGUAUUAAGUACUCAAGUAUUUUCAGCCUGAUAUGUUUUUCAGCACU
Molecule: long non-coding RNA, 656 nt
Organism: Danio aesculapii
Lineage: Eukaryota; Metazoa; Chordata; Actinopteri; Cypriniformes; Danionidae
Exons: 3
Source: RefSeq, a predicted model, not a curated record